This 7110-nucleotide long non-coding RNA is filed under the name Homo sapiens (human). Its description in RNAcentral is "HSALNT0322734". The record is from RNAcentral. Lineage: Eukaryota; Metazoa; Chordata; Mammalia; Primates; Hominidae.
CAGGGUUUGUGAGGGGGAGAGAGGUGAGAUGUGGAUUGCAAGAAGUAGUCUGUGGCCGAUUAUAUCAGGCUUUGGAGGUUUUUUAUAAGGAUCUGGCUUUUAUCCUAAAUAAGCUAGGGAGCCAAUGAAGGGUUUUGAGCAGAGAAGUGUCAUGAUCUAAAUCAUAUGUUUAAAGCAUCAGACUGGCUGCUGUGUUGAGAAUAAACUGGUGGGCUAAGGCAGCAGGAGGGAGACCAGCUAGGAGGUGAUUGCAGGAAGUCAAGCAAGUGAUAAUGGGCUUGUACCCAGCUAGUGGGGUUCCAGUUAGUGAUGUUGAAAGUGUUGAAAAGUGUUCCGUUUCUGCUUUUUUUUAAAUGUGAAACCAACAGGACAUGCCAGUGAUUAUAAAGCAUAUGAUGAUGAUAUAGGAUAAAGGAAGAGAGGAGUUAAUUAAAUAUGACACUGAUGUUUUUAUCCUGAACAAAUGGAAGGAAGGAAUUGCUGAAAUAGAGACGUCUCUGAAGAGCAGAAGCUGUUUUGAACAUUGCAGUUUGAAAUACCUAUUAGACCUCUGCUUGGAGAUCCCAAACAGGAAAAAUCAGUGGUUAUGGUCAGAAAGUGGGAAGCUUGAAGUUGAGAUUAUCAAGUUAAUAUCAGUGCAGUCAUUGGUAAUGAUAAGUUCUAGGAUCUAAGCAAUGGGAAGAAAGAAGUUGGCUGAAGAAAUGAUGGAAAUUAAUUAUAUAAUUGAAGAAAAAGAAGUCAAGGCACUGAGAGCAUGUUCAGUUGGCAGAAAUUCCAUGACAGCAUCUACAAGGGCAUAUUGGAGAGAGUGAGGGUAAGCUUGGAGUUUUCGCUCGUUGAACUUGUUCUCGUGAGCCUAUGAAUCUGGAGAAUCUUAUCCUUCUGUUCUAGGGAAGUUUUAAAAUCCUUUCUUUUAUAAUUUCUCCCCUCUGUUUUCUACAUUUUGUCUUUCUUAAAGUCCUGUUAGUAAAUGAUGGUCUCCUAGUUCAAUUACCUGAUUUACUUGACUCUUCCAUUUUUCCAUCCCUUUGUCUUUUUACUUAGUUUCUUGAAGACUUACCUUCCAGCCCUUUUAUUGAAUCUGUUAUUUCUGUUACCCUAUUUUCAUUUACCAAGAAUGAUUUCUUAUGCUCUACAUACUCCUUUUUUCAUGUAACCACACAUUCUUAUUUUGCAGAUGUAACAUUUUAUCUUUUUUUUGAGGUCAAUAAUAUGUUUAAGUGUUCUUUUCACUGCACUUUUUGUUACUCCAAGUUGCCUUUAUUCAUUUAUUUGUUUAUUUUAAUCUUUAAUAUUUUAUGUUGGAGACUUUCCUCACAUGUCUGGUGAUACUUGAUUGUUCACACUUAAGAGUGAGGCACUUAAAAAGCAAAUGGGAAGCUUUGUGUGUAUUUGCAGUGUUUGUCAAUUGCUACUGUUUACUGGAGAGCAAUCAGUCAGGCACCUGGUCAUUUCACUGGGAGACUUAAAAAUGUCAGUAUAUAAGUCUUUUCUCCAAUCAGUUGGUUUUGUCAAAGGGGACUCUUCCAAUUCCCUGCCUAGGGAAUAUAAAUCUAGUUGCCAGUGCCCUAACUGCAAGUGAGGGAAAAAGGGUGGGAGUCUCACUAAUUAGUAUAUGGCAUGUAGACUUGACCUUGAUCAUCCUUUUUCAGCCUUACUCCUAUCCUCUACAAAACAUGGUAUCAUUGGGUCUGAAAAUCCCUGGCUCUAUUUCCCUAGAAAUUAAACCAGUUGCCUGCUGGGCUGGUUGGUGUACAGAAGAGGAGAAGGAUUCUGAGGGGUCAUCUCCAAUCCCAUUUUUUUUCAGCCCCAGCCUGCAUCCCUUUCUACAGAAGUAACAACAAUUUCCAGUUUCUGAGCCUUUCCAGGGUUGUACAGUAGGUAUUCAUUUGCUUUUUGAUAUUUUCCACAGCAAAGCAAACUUUCUUGCUGCUCUGUUAACUUCGUUACCACUCACCCGUCUGCCUUCUGUCUUCCAACAUUUUGUUGCUAGCUCUUGUCUGCUGUUGCCUCUUCUGUUCUCUUUAUCCUUCCAGGUUUUAUAAGAUUGUUUUUAUUCCUUUUCAGUCAUUUCAGAGAGGCUUCAGGAUGGAGUUGUGAUAAACGCAUGUGUUCAGUCUACAAUGUUUAACAGGGAGUGCCUCUUGAUUUUUUCAUGUGAAUUACUGAGGAGUAGGUAGUAGACUAUCUUGAUGCCCUUCCUCAUGUCCCUUUGACUCUGAGUUGACCUGCAGCUGCAGUGAACACUUCCUAAGGAUGCUGAUGUCUUCCCCUAUCAAGCACUUGCCUCAUUCUGCUUCUCCGAGGAUUUCCUCCAGUACACCAAGAGCUUGCCCGACACUCACAAGGUAUCCUGGAACUGCUGGGGACUGAAAACCCCUCAACCCAUGAAGAAUGAGGAUCAGUGGAUUAAUAGCAACUGUCCCAUACCUUGGUGGGACUAUUAUAAGGCAUUCUGGUUGGUUCCUCAGAGGUCCCAAAUGGGAUUGAACCAAAGUUGCCCACAGUAAAAACUCAUUCACCAACUCAAUUUUCAUUUCACCCCUCUCAAUUUGCACACUCACUCACUUGUUCUACCUGGGAUACUCUCCAAGAUAAACUCCUGUAUCCAAAGCUUUGUCUCAAGGUCUCAUUUGGGAGGAACUCAAACUAAGAUAAUAGGUACUGGAAGUGACUACAGAAAGUAUAUUAUCAAUGGUAUGGAGGCAACAAAAACCCCAUUAAUGGUGGUGAGUAAGGUGGUGACAAACCCUGGCACUUUGAAGAAUUUCAUUACCCACAAUUGACCCAUGGUGUACUUGGAUGAGGUAAAAAUGAAAGGAGACGCUAACCUUAUGCAAUAGUGCUAACUCCUGAAAGAUAUAGGGCUGUGAUAAUCACAGGAAUUGAAGAGUUGUCUUGUUCUUGUUAACUCCCCUAGAAGAAUUGGGAAAAAAGAAAGAUAGGUUUACAACAUCCAACUACCCAUUCAGAGCAUAGCAAUGAAAGCCAGAAGGUCUCCUUGGGAGAAUCUGAAGAGACCCCCAUUUCCUGCAACCAGAGGGCAGGCUGUUCUAAAAAAAUGACAUUCAGGGGUUCACUGCAAGAGGAAUUGAACUACAGAGCAGACUGAAGACACAGUCCAGGCAGGCCUCUCAUGCAAAAGUCAAAGCCCUAGAGGAAGGAAAUGGUCCUUAAAAACUACUGGGAUGCAGGCAGGCAUCUGGAUAGAUGUGCUAGAUAACCUUGAACCCCUAGAUUCCCUGAACAACCCAGGCUAGCAGGAGUAUCCUGCACCCUGUUACUUGAACAGAACAGCUUCCCUUUGCCUAGAGACUCUACACAGUCCUCCUCUGAAGCAGACACCUCCAAGAUUACUUCAAGGUCUGCUACUUCCUGCCCUCAUUGCCUCUAUUCCAAAAACUGGAAACAAGUCUCAGCAUGCCCUGAGCAGGGUAGCACAUUUCUUGCUGUGAGAGAUAUGACAGAUUGUAUUUUCUAAAGAAGGCUGCAACCAUGUCUCUCAUCCCAAAUGCUCUUCUACAAUGCAAUCUUGUCACUCCUCUACCAAGAGAUGAAACCUAAUUUCAAUGCCCUUGAAUCUAAGCUGGACUUUACUUGCUUUGACCUGUAAUGUACAGAAGUGACACUGUGUGAUUCUUACAGCUGAGUCAUAAAAGGUGAUGCAGCUUCUGCCUUGUUCCUGGGGACAUAUGCCUCUGUGAGAUUGAGCUACUAAAUAACAAGACCACCUACCUUGAGGCUGCCAUGCUGGAAGAAAGCAAAGCCACAUGAAGAGCAAGUAAGCUGGUUGCUUUAGCAAGAUCCUUCAUAUUGAUAGUGAAUGUGCACUUCUGUCUUUCUCUUGUGAAUGCAAACCACUUUUUCAAUAGUCUCACGUUAAGUGCCAAAGAUUGUUGUUUUUGUUGAAUGCAUUCUCUUUAUCAUUCACUACCUGGCCCUAGGAAUUUGUUCAAUGAUCCUCAUUUCUGUUACAAUAUAGUCUUCAGUGACCUUGAUCAUCUUCACAUUCUAUAGAACAUCAUCCUGGCCCAUUAUAUUAAUGACAGAAUAAUAAUUGAACUUGGUUUUUAGGAAGGAGCAAGUAUACUGGUUUUAAAUACUUCAUGCUGAAGGAAUGAGAGAUAAGCCCUACAAAGUUUUGGAAGUCUGCCACAUCAGGGAAUAUUUUAGGGGCCCAAAGAUCCAGGGGUAUGUUGAGACACCCUACUCAAAAGAAUACUUUACAUUUCCUACCACUAAGACAGAGGCACAGCACUUGGUGAGCUGCUUUGAAUUCCUGAGGCAAAAAAAUAACAAUAAUAAAUACUACCCAUGAGAAUAAUGCUCUGAUCUAUUGUAUCAGAAGACUAUUGACUUUGCGGGGGUCUGAGAGAGUAUCUGAAUAGCCUUUUAAAGACUUAAAAAGGCAUUGGCUUAGGAAUUGCACCUUGCAUGGCUAGGUCAUUGUCCUCGAGGAUACAGCAUAUUUGUUGAACCAGUGAUCACUAUAUGCAAUCACUGUGCUGUUUUCCCAGCAUUUGGAAUACACAGGAAUGAUAAUUAAAGGAUACAAGUAGGACUGACUUAAACACACUCCCUUUCACCCAUUAGUGGAAAUUAUGUUUUUAAUUCUUACAACUUUAGGCUCUUCCUGAUUAAAAGCCUUGGUCUCAAGGUGUGUGUACAGACGGAGACAGUAAGUGUUCCACUGCAUCAAUGCAGUGCCAUCUGAGGAUUUGGGCAUCUCCAUACUGACAGGUCAGCAGGCAAAAAUGGGAGUACUAUACUGGCAGGGACACCUGACUGAUUAUCUUGAAGAGUCGGAGUUGCUGCUACAUAAUGGGCCCAGGGAGGAAGAUGUCUAGAACUUGGGGGAAUCACUCAGGCCCCCCUUAGUGCUUCUUUGUCUGGCGAUAAUAGCAGAGAAGCAAUUGAAGUAGCCAUGUCCUCACAAGGGCAAGGUAAUCAAGGCCCAGCCACUCAGAGAUGAAGGUCUGGUCAUACACUGAGCAAGCAAUGAUGACUAGUGGAAGUGCUAGCCAAGGAUUCGGGAAAUCUAGAAGAAGUGGAAUUGGAGAGAGAUGAUGAGUAUAGAUUAUAGCCUUGGGACCAGCUGCAGCAGUGAAGAUUGUGACUUGUUCCACAUAUUCUUCUAUUUUCAGUCAUUUUUGGAGAUUGCAGCCAGCUACAACUCUGAAAUGUCAGUAACAGAGCAAACUAAGGGUGGGCAUGAGAGGAUCUGCUGAGAGCAAGGAAUGAACAUGGUAGUCACUAAUGAUACACUGCCCAUGUUCCCCGGCUCACCUGUUAGCUCCCCGGCAGCUUGCAAACAUGUCUAUACACACUGCCAUCUUCCUACCACGAGUGCCAUAACUCUCUGCUUCUCUGCUGAGGCCCUUCUCAGCUCACAGUGCGAGUAGCCUGCAAGUGCUAAGGGCAUAAUGCCUCCAAGGUCAACUUUAAUCAACGAGGUUCAAGAGUCAGAAGAGUGAAUUCCUUCUGAGAUACAUUCUUUCUGGUUUCUCAGAGGCUCCCCAGAGGAAGUAGGCCCCAGUUGCUUAGGAAAAAUGGAACCUACUUAUUAAGGCACCCCCUUUUUACUUUUCUCCUUUCUUUCUCUCCCUUUCCCCACUCCAUUCCGUGAAGUUCCUGGGAUCACCAAAUAAACUAUCUGUAAUCAAAUCUUUAUCUCACUCUGCAUUCUGGGGAACCCAAACAAAGAUGGGUUGUCUCAUGGCUGCAAGAUGGCCAUAGGAGCUCCAGCUGUGGCACCUGUGUUCUGGGCAAGAAGAAGAAGAAGAAGAAAGAAUGGGUGCAAAAGAGCACAUUGUGGCUCUUUAAAAGGAAUCAACCCCUUUUAAGAAGCAUUUUAAAUUAGCAUUGGCAAUAAUCUAACCACAUAGCCACCUCUGUCCACAAGGCAGGCUACGAAAUGUAGAUUUUUAGUAUGGUACAUUGCCUCCCCUAACAAAAUCAGGUUUCUCUUAGUGAGGAAGAAGGGGAGAAAUUGAUUGGGGUAAGCAACUACAAGCCUGUGUACAGGCUUCAGUGACAACCAAAUUAUAAAGAGGGGGAUUUUGUAACUAUAUAUUUAAAGAUCAACAUUAUGCCACAAUAAACAGUCCUUAACUGUUCAAGGCAAUAUAAAUAGACAUACCACAAACAUUUUAUAAGUCUUCAAAGCUAACUCGUUAAAAAAGAGAGAAAGAAAACAGCCAUAAAAAUUAAAAACCUAAAAACAAUCAGUUUCAGUAUGAUUGGGUUUGUAGGACAACUCAGUAAAUUUAGUUUUAAAAAAAAUUCUAGUUUAAGAAGAACUUCAGAAGGGAUAUAAACUACCCCCUCUUUGAAAUUGUAUGCAUAAUUUAUGUGGUUGACUAUUUUUCUGAUUAGAUUUCACAUAGAUCCUCAAAGGAGUAGGUGACCCAGAAAAGGUUAAUAACAUGGAUCUAGGUGUUGUGCCCAUUUGGAAAACGCCACACAGCUAGUCUAACUGAACUCAGAGAGGAAUUGGGAGUUUGGAUGUCACACAUAUUCUCAGGCCAACAGAAAUUCAAGGAUGUGACAUUGCCUAAGGUAGUUAAGAAAAGUUGAGGGCACAGCCAGAGUCCAGGGACUGGUCAAAGACAUGCAUUAAACAGCAAAAUGCAAAGGCUUUUGGCCUCUGAAGGAGUUGGAAUGAACUUUGUGUGCUGGCAAGCCCCACACAGACCCAGCUACGGGGCUGUCCUUGGAAUAAGUGAAAUCCUAGAGAGGGCAGUGUUUCAUUUUGAGUCUGAGAAGCAAGAAAAGAACAAUAUGGCCCAUAUGUGUUGACAUAUCUACCAACACAGAUAUUUGGCAUUUAGUAUUAAAACUGUUUAUCAAGCCCCUAAUGUUGAUGAUUAACAAACAGAAGCCUAAUGUACUGUGUUACUCUAUUGAUACAUGGGGGGAAGAGGACUCUAAUCCAUCCAUCUCAUGAAUUUACCAACACUGGUUUAAGAGGACUUAGAGAUACCUGGGGACUAGAACAAAGUAAAUAUGAUUAUUUCAUCAAAAGCGUCCCAAAACAAAAAAUUAAAGUGGUGUCGUUGUGACACAGUGGUUACCUGGAUUUUAAGAUACCUGGGAUUGUAUUUGCCAGGG